Molecule: ribosomal RNA, 254 nt
Filed under: uncultured bacterium
Lineage: Bacteria
Description: partial 16S ribosomal RNA
Rfam family: Bacterial small subunit ribosomal RNA
Source: RNAcentral
UACGUAGGGUCCGAGCGUUGUCCGGAAUUAUUGGGCGUAAAGGGCUCGUAGGCGGUUUGUCGCGUCGGGAGUGAAAACACGGGGCUUAACCCCGUGCCUGCUUCCGAUACGGGCAGACUAGAGGUAUGCAGGGGAGAACGGAAUUCCUGGUGUAGCGGUGAAAUGCGUAGAUAUCCGGAGGAACACCGGUGGCGAAGGCGGCUUCCUGGACCGAUCACUGACGCUGAGGCGCGAAAGCUAGGGGAGCAAACGGG